RNAcentral lists this long non-coding RNA (286 nucleotides) under Panax ginseng (ginseng). RNAcentral's name for it is "long non-coding RNA (PGIN_LNC014011)". Lineage: Eukaryota; Viridiplantae; Streptophyta; Magnoliopsida; Apiales; Araliaceae. The record is from RNAcentral.
UGUGGUUUCUGAGGUAUUUCCAUUUAAGGCAUGCAAAGAAAUAGCCAUUUCUGUUUGAUGCUCUACGCUGUCAUUGAUCACUUCAAUAUCUGGUUCUUCCUUGCAUUCUUCUUCCCACUCAUCAUCUCCAAUGAUCAUAUAGAUUUGUUUAAACUUGCACUUGUGACCUUGUCUGUAGAUCUCAUCACAAUUAAAACAUAAUCCUUUUUCCCUCCUAGCUUGCAUUUCACUGUGUGUGAGUUUUUUAAUUUGACCACCAAUAUUGUCUUUUAGAUUUCCCCCUCCC